GAUGAACGCUGGCGGCGUGCCUAACACAUGCAAGUCGAGCGAAGCGAUCUGAUGGAAGUUUUCGGAUGGAAGUCAGAUUGACUGAGCGGGCGACGGGUGAGGUAACGCGUGGGUAACCUGCCUCAUACAGGGGGAUAACAGUUAGAAAUGGCUGCUAAUACCGCAUAAGCACACAGGACCGCAUGGUCCGGUGUGAAAAACUCCGGUGGUAUGAGAUGGACCCGCGUCUGAUUAGCUAGUUGGUAAGGUAACGGCUUACCAAGGCGACGAUCGGUAGCCGACCUGAGAGGGUGAUCGGCCACAUUGGAACUGAGAAACGGUCCAG
This 325-nucleotide ribosomal RNA is filed under the name uncultured bacterium. Its description in RNAcentral is "bacterial SSU rRNA". It matches the Rfam family "Bacterial small subunit ribosomal RNA", at positions 28 to 334 of the family's 1533-position model. The record is from RNAcentral.